UACGUAGGGUGCAAGCGUUAAUCGGAAUUACUGGGCGUAAAGCGUGCGCAGGCGGUUUUGUAAGUCAGAUGUGAAAUCCCCGGGCUUAACCUGGGAACUGCGUUUGAAACUACAAGGCUAGAGUGUGGCAGAGGGGGUGGAAUUCCGCGUGUAGCAGUGAAAUGCGUAGAUAUGCGGAGGAACACCGAUGGCGAAGGCAAUCCCCUGGGCCUGCACUGACGCUCAUGCACGAAAGCGUGGGGAGC
RNAcentral lists this ribosomal RNA (245 nucleotides) under uncultured bacterium. RNAcentral's name for it is "partial 16S ribosomal RNA". It matches the Rfam family "Bacterial small subunit ribosomal RNA", at positions 524 to 769 of the family's 1533-position model. The record is from RNAcentral.